RNAcentral lists this ribosomal RNA (468 nucleotides) under uncultured bacterium. RNAcentral describes it as "partial 16S ribosomal RNA". It matches the Rfam family "Bacterial small subunit ribosomal RNA", at positions 28 to 507 of the family's 1533-position model. The record is from RNAcentral.
GACGAACGCUGGCGGCGUGCUUAACACAUGCAAGUCGAACGGAAAGGCCAUGCUUUUGUGCGGCGCUCGAGUGGCGAACGGGGGAGUAACACGCGAGUAAAAUGCCCUUGACUUAGGGGUAAAACCAGGGAACUGGGGCUCUAACCGGAUAGAAGCUCCUGAUGCGUGGGGGGGGUUGGAAAGUUGCGGCGGUUGGGGAUGGUCUCGAGGCUUAUCAGCCUCUUGGUGGGGUAGUGGCGUACCAAGGCUUUGACGGGUAGCCGGCCUGGGAGGGUGGCCGGCCACAUUGGGCCUACGAGACGGCCCAGACUCCUACGUGACGCAGCAGGCGGGAAUAUUGCACAGUGGGCGGGAGCCUGAUACAGCAACGCCGCGUGCGGGAUGACCGCCUUCGGGUUGUAAACCGCUUUCGCCGGUAACGAAGCGUGAGUGACGGUAAUGGGUAAAGAAGCACCGGCUAACUACGUG